UAUGUAGGCGGACCAGAAAGUCAGGAGUGAAAUCCCGGGGCUCAACCCCGGAACUGCUCUUGAAACUUCUGGCCUAGAAUCCUGGAGAGGUUGGGAGAAUUCCUAGUGUAGAGGUGAAAUUCGCAGAUAUUAGGAGGAAUACCAGUGGCGUAGGCGCCCAACUGGACAGGUAUUGACGCUCAGAUACGAAAGCGUGGGGAGCAAACA
This 207-nucleotide ribosomal RNA is filed under the name uncultured bacterium. Its description in RNAcentral is "partial 16S ribosomal RNA". It matches the Rfam family "Bacterial small subunit ribosomal RNA", at positions 568 to 774 of the family's 1533-position model. The record is from RNAcentral.